This is a long non-coding RNA of Sardina pilchardus (European sardine), 657 nucleotides long. RefSeq lists it as uncharacterized. NCBI's taxonomy places the organism in Eukaryota, Metazoa, Chordata, Actinopteri, Clupeiformes, Clupeidae. The record is from RefSeq and is a predicted model, not a curated record. The transcript is spliced from 4 exons.
UCUUGAAUCUGGCUCUGACUCCAAGCCGACUCUUGAUCCGCCUGAAGAGAGCAAAUAUGUACUAUACUGUAUACUGUUUGCAUUGUACUAAAAUAUGAGUGAAAACUUCAUGAAGUAAAACAGGAUAACAAACUUAUAGCUGGCCUAUACACAUCUAUUUUUUUUCUUUUUUUUUACCUUUGGCAACUUUGGCUCCUUUUGAUUUUACCUCUGACUGUCAGUUGUAGGUUCAAUCCCAGUACUUUCAUAUACUGAAGUGGGGAAAGACCAGUUGAAUGUUACCUGCGUGUCAGAUGGUUGGUCUCCUCAGCCAACACUCACCUGGAGAGACAGACAUGGAGGAGAAAUCAAUGACAACAAAGUCUGUAAAUACACAACUGAUGCUGAUAAUCUAUUGAGUGUGAGUUCAUGGUUGCUGGUCCCUCCCUCUAACUCAGAGUGGAUCUCCUGCUUGGUGUAUUUGUCUGAUCAGGAAAUGAGAGAGAGCAAAAUGUUGCCCCAGAUCACUAGAACACAUGCAGUCACCCCACCCAACAGGUCUGGCGAAUGGAGAGCUGCAUUCAUAACUCUUUUGAAUCUGGUACUUCUGGAGUUCUCUCUACUUUUCCUGUUAAAUCGUACAGGGUAUAUCAACUUUGGAAAACAGACACAAACAGG